CCUACGGGUGGCAGCAGUGAGGAAUAUUGGUCAAUGGGCGCAAGCCUGAACCAGCCAAGUCGCGUGAGGGAAGACGGCCCUACGGGUUGUAAACCUCUUUUGCCGGGGAGCAAGCCUGAGCACGUGUGCACCGGCGGAGAGUCACUGGAGAAAAAGCAUCGACUAACUCCGUGCCAGCAGCCGCGGUAAUACGGAGGAUGCGAGCGUUAUCCGGAUUUAUUGGGUUUAAAGGGUGCGCAGGCGGGCUGUUAAGCCGGCGGUAAAAAUUCAGGGCUCAACCCUGUCGAGCCGUCGGAACUGGCAGUGUUGAGUGGGCGGGAAGUAUGCGGGAAGCGUGGUGUAGCGGGGAAAUGCAUAGAUAUCACGCAGAACGACGAUUGCGAAGGCAGCAUACCGGCGCCCAACUGACGCUGGGGCACGAAAGCGUGGGGAUCGAACAGGAUUAGAUACCCGAGUAGUC
This 460-nucleotide ribosomal RNA is filed under the name uncultured bacterium. Its description in RNAcentral is "partial 16S ribosomal RNA". It matches the Rfam family "Bacterial small subunit ribosomal RNA", at positions 338 to 795 of the family's 1533-position model. The record is from RNAcentral.